GGUGUGUGUGAGUUGGUCAGUCUGUUUAGGUUACUGCCCCUCCCCUCCCCCCCCUUUGAGUACAUGGAAAAGGUGUUUUUACUUAUUUUUUCCCCACAGCUUGCCUGUCUUGCCCAGCCUCCAUGGCUGAGAUGAUCAAUCUUGAUGAUCUCAGCCAGCCUAUGCUUUCCCAUAUGAAAGCAUUGGAAGGCUAUUGCGCAUGCACUAAUCGGGAUCUUUUCACAGAGAUCCAUUGAAUCAAGUCCAAGAUACUAAAU
This is a non-coding RNA of Pelobates cultripes (western spadefoot toad), 257 nucleotides long. The record is from the annotation of a GenBank genome assembly. Lineage: Eukaryota; Metazoa; Chordata; Amphibia; Anura; Pelobatidae.